AAGUAUAAGGACUCAGCAUACAAGCUGAUCCCCAAACUCAAAUUGGUGAAGUUUCUAUCUUUUUGGAAAAUGGCAUUGUACCUAGGAUGUCUUUUGGUUAUUUUGAAAGUAUCUAAGUUGUUAAGUGAUAUUUUGGUAUGUUUUGUAAAUGUUACCAAAAGUAUGGUAUGUUUUGAUAUGUUAGUGAAGAGUAAUAAGAGGAAG
This 204-nucleotide long non-coding RNA is filed under the name Gossypium barbadense (sea-island cotton). Its description in RNAcentral is "long non-coding RNA (GBAR_LNC009942)". The record is from RNAcentral. Lineage: Eukaryota; Viridiplantae; Streptophyta; Magnoliopsida; Malvales; Malvaceae.